RNAcentral lists this transfer RNA (72 nucleotides) under Bos taurus (domestic cattle). It matches the Rfam family "tRNA". From Rfam's summary of the family: Transfer RNA (tRNA) molecules are approximately 80 nucleotides in length. Their secondary structure includes four short double-helical elements and three loops (D, anti-codon, and T loops). Further hydrogen bonds mediate the characteristic L-shaped molecular structure. tRNAs have two regions of fundamental functional importance: the anti-codon, which is responsible for specific mRNA codon recognition, and the 3' end, to which the tRNAs corresponding amino acid is attached (by aminoacyl-tRNA synthetases). tRNAs cope with the degeneracy of the genetic code in two manners: having more than one tRNA (with a specific anti-codon) for a particular amino acid; and 'wobble' base-pairing, i.e. permitting non-standard base-pairing at the 3rd anti-codon position. Lineage: Eukaryota; Metazoa; Chordata; Mammalia; Artiodactyla; Bovidae. RNAcentral also lists the same sequence under 2 other names. The record is from Rfam by way of RNAcentral.
UCCCUGGUGGCUCAGAGGCUAAAGCAUCUGCUUGCAAUGCGGGAGACCUGGGUUCGAUCCCUGGGUCGGGAA